Molecule: transfer RNA, 66 nt
Filed under: Euryhaliotrema johni
Lineage: Eukaryota; Metazoa; Platyhelminthes; Monogenea; Dactylogyridea; Ancyrocephalidae
Description: tRNA-Cys
Source: RNAcentral
GGGUAAAGAGCUGUAACAGCGCUUAUUUUGCAAAGAUAAUUUAGGAUUAAUAUAAUCCCUUACCCU